UACGUAGGGUGCGAGCGUUAAUCGGAAUUACUGGGCGUAAAGCGUGCGCAGGCGGUAAGUUAAGUCUGAUGUGAAAGCCCCGGGCUCAACCUGGGAAUGGCAUUGGAAACUGGCUGGCUAGAGUGUGGCAGAGGGGGGUGGAAUUCCGCGUGUAGCAGUGAAAUGCGUAGAGAUGCGGAGGAACACCGAUGGCGAAGGCAGCCCCCUGGGCCGAAACUGACGCUCAGGCACGAAAGCGUGGGGAGCAAACAGG
RNAcentral lists this ribosomal RNA (253 nucleotides) under uncultured bacterium. RNAcentral's name for it is "partial 16S ribosomal RNA". It matches the Rfam family "Bacterial small subunit ribosomal RNA", at positions 524 to 776 of the family's 1533-position model. The record is from RNAcentral.